Long non-coding RNA from Antechinus flavipes (yellow-footed antechinus), 580 nucleotides. RefSeq lists it as uncharacterized. The record is from RefSeq and is a predicted model, not a curated record. The transcript has 2 exons. NCBI's taxonomy places the organism in Eukaryota, Metazoa, Chordata, Mammalia, Dasyuromorphia, Dasyuridae.
UCCGGCCUCUUCUGUCCCUCAGGAUAUUGUGAGUGACUGCUGUGAGGGGUGACAUUGCUAACCACUUGACAUUUCCCUGACAAAAAUAUUUAUUCUUCAGGGAAUAAAAAUAAUUUAAAGUUCAACUCUAUAUACAUGUACCAAAUUGCAUCUCAGCUGGUAGCAGAGAGCAGAAGGGGAAAAACCCUGAAUUUGAGAUCUUGUACAGAGACCCUUUUGAUGAGAUCUCUGAUCACAAAUCAAGGAAAAUUCUUGAAUGAAUGAAUUAAAGUUUUGAAGAUUGGAGCCCAUGAAAUGAGAGGAAAUGAGAGAUUCACAGCUGAGAAACAAGCAACAGCCAGAUUAACCAUAGCACUGAAGAUAACUCUCCUUGGUUGCCAUGGUGAGAACAGAAAAUGUGCCAGGAUGGAUUGGAGGUUGUAAAUAACUCCAGAGGUGCAGACAGAUGCCAAGAAGGAGUCUCACUAUACUUGCAAAAGCCAUGCUACAUAUUCUUUUCAUCUCUUGGGCAUUUUCUUUUGUCAUUGUAUGGCUUAUUUCAGGAAAAGCAAUGUGAAUAAAAUGUUUCCAAACUUCCAAA